This 255-nucleotide long non-coding RNA is filed under the name Gossypium raimondii (Peruvian cotton). RNAcentral's name for it is "long non-coding RNA (GRAI_LNC001523)". The record is from RNAcentral. Lineage: Eukaryota; Viridiplantae; Streptophyta; Magnoliopsida; Malvales; Malvaceae.
GGGAGAGGGAGAGAGGGAGGGAGGGACGGAGGGAGAGGGGGGAGAGGGAGAGAGGGAGGGAGGGACGGAGGGAGAGAGAGAGAGAGAGAGAGAGAGAGAUUUUUUAAAUUUUAUAUGUUAGUCACGGUCUAUUGUUGGUUGGAAUUUUUUCUUAUUAGAUUUAACAUUUUGGUGUAAAACGGUUAAAGUAAGAAUAGUUUAGGUAACACUUGUGGCAAAAAAAGGGGAUAAAACCAUGACCAACUUGGUCAAGGG